AUACAUGCUUAUCUAUAUAUGAUAUUUACAUAACCAUGGCUGCCAGUUGAGCCAUGGUGCAAAACUAAAAGCAAGAGGAUAUAAACCUAACCUUCAAGAUAAUCUCUGCGCCAAUUUCUCUAUCACCGUUUACCUUCCAACCUAAAACAAUACUAAUGAAAAUAAUAAUUAAAUUCAAAAAAUAUAGAGUCAUUCUUCAAGUCAUGGAGUAUACUGAAAAUAUCAUAUCCUUGUAAAUGUGAGGUUCUAACAAAUACUACUAGACAAUUAGAAAACUAAAAAGAACUAAACAGGGGAUAAGUUGGGUACACCCAAAUCUCAAGGAUGAGAAACAACCAAUUAGAAAAAGAAGAAAAAAAAACGAACUUGCAAUUCUAGAUUCUGCAGUAUGGAGGUGUUCGUAACCCUCAUUUAUAGCAAAUAUACUGUGAAAUUCAGACUUUAAACACCACCAAAUCUCAAUAUGAGGAGAGGCUAAUAUACGGCAAACAUCAUGCUUACUUGACAUAUUAUAAAUAAAACCAACUCCUUCAAAUUACAAUCACUAAGAAUAGUAAUACUAAAGUACUCAGAGUAAUCAUCAAUUUAUCAUAGGCAGCAAAAUCAUCAGACAUACAAAACAAAACCAAAGCAAAAUCAAUCCCUCUCAGCUUCAGAUCAAAAAGUAUUCCACACCAACAGAAAAGGUUUCAACUGAGAUUCAAAAGCAACAGAAAUAAGUAACAAAUCAAUCAAUUUGUUAUAUGCAUUCGACCACUAUCUGAAUCCCACGGAAACAAGCAACAAAAGGAGGAAUUUUCAGCUUAAAAAGACAAAAGGAACACCAACAUAGCAGUUCAGUAAUUUACCACAACCAAAACUUAGCCUACCAAAUUCACCGAUUGCAAGAUGAAAACCCAACACGCGAGUGUAAAAUCGAGUUAUGGGGGCUGCUAAAUCGGUACAAAUUGGCAAGUGAAAAAGAAAAAAUGAAAUUCAGAUCCUUUACCCAACAAAAAUCAAUUCUUCAAAAUCAAAGUACAUGCAAAACCCCCAUUAUCAAGUACAGGCAAAACCCUCAAAAUCAAAGGUAAAAAAUGAGUCUUUUCAACACAAAUCAGAGCCCUUUCCCUACAAAAAAUCAAUUCUUCACCUCAAACCCUCAUGAUUAAUCGCAGAUACAGAGAGAAAAUGUGCUCAAAUUCAAGAAAUUGCUCUAAAGAAUUACCUGAUUUUUUCUUUUUCCGACGACCACUGUUAUUCCUCCGCCCAACUCUGUUCGUGGUGGCUAAUAUAGUUACUUCCUCUUUCGAAGCCCUUCU
RNAcentral lists this long non-coding RNA (1301 nucleotides) under Salvia miltiorrhiza (redroot sage). RNAcentral's name for it is "long non-coding RNA (SMIL_LNC005713)". Lineage: Eukaryota; Viridiplantae; Streptophyta; Magnoliopsida; Lamiales; Lamiaceae. The record is from RNAcentral.